Molecule: non-coding RNA, 13512 nt
Organism: Sus scrofa (pig)
Lineage: Eukaryota; Metazoa; Chordata; Mammalia; Artiodactyla; Suidae
Source: RefSeq, a predicted model, not a curated record
GCCGACCCAGGGUGCCGGGUGGCUCCUUGACAUAAAAAGCGCUGCGGGCCUCGCGCUGGCUGCGCCGGGCCGCGCUCCGCCGGGUUGAGAAGUACUUGUCUGGCUCCGCGUUGGAGAAGCCGCACCUCUCCUCUCUCCGGCUCUUACUUGAAAAGCACUUGGAAGAAACUGUGUGUGCGGGGAGGGCCGGGGCCAGGCUGGGAGGCUGAGGGGGGCCGGCUUGUGGGUGGAUGGGGAGGAGGUUGAAGAAAUAGCUCCUUUCUGAGUGACAGGACUCCUUUUCAAAGAGCCAACGGGGAGGGGGGCGGGGGAGAAGCUCCUAAUAUGAAUAGGAGAAUUUUCAAGGUUUCGCAGAGUUACUCCCCCUCCCCCCUUUUAAAGACAGAGAUCUUUUUUCUUUUCUUUUCUUUUCCUUUCCUUUUUAAAGGUAGAAAGUGAGUGUGCAAACGUGUCUUGAUGUGUUUCAGGAGAAAGAAGAGAUCCAUUAACUUUAAAAAUCUUCUCGGCUUGGUACAAAUCACUGAAACAUUUUAACAUGUUUUUGUGGACUCACUGACCAGAAUGGAGAAGUCAAACUCUCAGACAGGGAUCUUCAGUUAAAGGGGACAGGUUUGUGAGGGAAAGAAAAGGGAAUAUCUUACAAAGUUUUCCCUCACUCCAAUAACAAAACCUGUCACAUCUCUACUUUUUACUAGAAAAGAGAGUGUUCUUAUUUGAACACCUCUAAGGUGUUAGAUACCUCUGUGAGAAAUCAGGUUGGGAGAGGAAAGCUCAUCACACACACACAUACACACACCCCAAUUUUUAAAGCCUGCCUGUAUUUAUAAUUUAACCUUAGAAACACUUUUAUUAGCUCCAUUCUCAACCCCAGCUUUAAAAAAAAAAAAAAUUGCUGGAGAACCAUGUCUCAUAGAGGAGAAAACUCUUUAAAAAAAAAAAGAUUUAAAUCCACAGUACCAGUUGUUUGUUGUUGUUAUCAUGCUUAUGAUGGUUAUUAUGUCAUCCCUCCUUUUUUGCACUUGAUCUGAUGAGAGAACUUUUUUAAAGAGUGUGAAAUGAAGGACACAAAGACAGUAUAUCAAUGAAAAGAAGAAAGUGGCCCUUUUAACGAGAACUAAAGAAAACCCAAAUGUAGAUGAAGUGUACCGUAAAAGCUGCUUCAAAGUCCAUCUUAAUUCCCUUGGGCUCAGUCAUCACAAACAUGUGAUAAUUGGGAGUUCUGCACGGAGGUAAGACCGUGGGUUGGGGGUCAUGCAGAUGUACCUCCUUGCCUUCUAAUUCCAACUACAUUUUAACCAAGAACUUCAAGAUCUUACAGCACCCAGGUCUGGCUACUUCACGUUGAAAUGCUAUUUGCCCAUUAAAGUAGUUUUUAAACUCCUGGAGUACCCGUGCUCACUGAGGGAGUUUCACCUUCCACCUCGCCCCCCAGCAGGUCAGAAUAUGCUGGGCCAUAUUCUAGAUUUUGACUAUUAUUUUGUGAUCAACUCUAUUUAAUUUUCUAUUUUCGGACCUCAGACUUUCUGGAUCACAAAACUCCCCACAAGCAACCCAGCAAUAAAUCUGAACAAAAAUAAGACAGAUUUCCUCAUCGAUGUGUAAUAAAGUUAAAGGACAUUGUUUUGUCAGACAAGCGCUAAGUAGAAAAUAAAUCUCAGAGUCUGGGGAAACAAAACGGAGCGCUGCUGGCAUGUGUGUAAAUUUACUUUUAAAAGCAAUAAAUCAAUGUUAAAUUAAACAGCUGGGUACCCUGUCUAGGAGAAGGUUCCAGGUUUAAGAAGAUCUUGAUGGGAGAAAUGUGCUAUUUAACCAGACACCACCACCAAUAAAAAGUUAAAUUUUUAUUCUGAUCAGAGGCAAGACUGGCCUGGGAACUUCUCUGAACUUCAGAGAGGAAGAGGAGAAAGAGUCAGUGAGAAUUGUAUCUACUUUCCAUCCUCAGAUCUUUACCUACGUUUUUCACACCUAAGGAGACAAGGGGGCUUCAUAGAAAUAUUUUAGAUGUUUUGUAAAUUGUCGGUUAAGUUCUGACAUCCUCUAUUGGCUUAGGUUUAUUGGGUAGUUAUCAUUUUUGUGGGUUUUUUUUUUUUGGUAAAUACUAUAACCAAUGGAAAUAUUUUCCAUUGGGUAUAUUCUUAUCUAACCCUUCUUUUAUUCUCAGUGUGGUUGUUUUGCAAGGUAAAUGGCAUAGUUGAAAAUAAAGAGAAUUGUUAUUUCAUAUCUAUUAUGCCUGUUUUCAUUGAGAAGCAAACCUGAGAUUGGAGUAGCAUUUAAAACUCAACUGGAAUCUUUGAAUAUUCAUUUCUAAGGGUUUUUGUUUGUUUGGGUCUUAAGUGUGUUUUUAAAAUUUCACUGGGAAAAUUUGUAUGUGUGGAGUGGGGGCAGGGGUAGGGGCAGGGGACAGAACAAUAGAAAACUCAAGCUAUAACUCUGUAUUCUAAGAACAAUGUGAAUCAAUGAGUUAUAACAAAGACAAUAUUCAAUAGUAGGAAAUUAGGUACAGUUUAAGGUUAAUAUGUAUGUAUACUAGAUUUUAUACCCCCCCAUCUUAAAAUGAAAUUCCAGAAAGAGAAGUACUUUAGAAAGCAGACAUGUUAUCCAUGUUAUCGAGAUGAACCCCUUGGUCUUUUGAAUUCAGAUUGACUGGUUUCAAAGAAAAAUAUGGGGUUUUUGCCUAUACUGAAACUAGCAAAUUGUUUCUUACUAUCUUCUUACACAGUCUCAGAAGUUGUGUUUUGUUAGCCCAGUUCUACAGAAUAUUCAUAUAAUUAGAUAACAUUAUUGAAACCUAGAAGAUGGGAAAAAUGCUAUUUUCCCCCUCCAGCUACAAACUAACAGGGCUAUUUGGCAGCAUCCUGGCUACCUUUGACUUUUCUUCAGCCAAAGGAAAUAUCAAAGACCCGGUUGCCUAGAGAAGAAUAGUUAUAUUAUUUAUAUUUUGAAGGCAGCAUUCAGUUUCCAUGACCAUCCGUGGCUUGUUAAGGAAAUCUGUGUCUUAUGCCACUCAGAGAUAGCUCGAAUUGCCUGUCAGGAGAUGUCUGGGCAGCCUUGUAAACUCAGAAUGACUUCUCAAAUCCUGCUAGGUUUUCCCAGCGAUGUGCUUUCCUCCGCGCUGAAGCCCUGGGAGUCAUGUCAGCCCAAGGUGAGCCUUUCAGGCACUGCUCUUUGUCCCCAUCUGGAGAGCAAGGUGCAGAAUUAGUUGGAUACUGCCCUAGUUUUGGAGGUGGGGGUGGUGGGAUCGGAAAGGCCUCUUGUUCUAAUUAAAGACAGUAAGCAACCCUGUGAGGAGCUGUCCUUUAGCCUUCGCUUGAGGCAGAAAGGGUCUGUCUCACCUCAGUAGUUAGGUCUGUUUGAGCUGGCUGUGGGGCAAAGAGCAGAAACCUGCAGGUAACACUGCGCUCAGGUGAGACGGGGCCAGUGGUUAAGUCGUAGCGCGUGCAUCUUGAAGUCUCCCCUUACUUCCCAAUUCCCCAGUCGCUCGGUGCUCUGUGCUUGACUUUGAUUCUAACUUUGCUUGCUAGAUGGCGCUCGGUAUCUCAGGACUUUCCAUUUCAGAAUGAAAGCGGCUUUUUAGCACCGUUGUUUUCAACUAGUUGUGGGCAUUUGAUUAGCCCAGUGCUGGUAAUGUUAUUACUGCCCUUGUUUUUGUCACCCUUGUUCACUUUGUGAUUAAGGCAGCGCCCAAGUGGGAGCUGCCCAUCUUAAUCCGUCCAAUGAUAAACUUUUUAGUGGAACUCUGCACCUGAAUUUAGGGCACAUUUAUGGCUCAAUUACUCAUUCUGGUGCAUUUCAAAAAGCACUUUAGUAACUUUUCCUCCAGUAAUCAGAUUGAGAUUUUCAGAAGGAAGGUAAAUCAGCAGGUCCAGGUUAUUUACAGUCCUGGAGGUUUACCAUCUCAGCUAGAGUCCAUCUCAGCUCUCAUCACUAUUACCCAUUUCCAUUUCAGAAUAAGUUAAGCUAAUUUUAGGGAACUUAUUACUCUCAUUUAUCAUUAUGGUAUGGCAUUCAUUGAUUUAAAAGUAUUAUAAUUUGUUUAAAGCCCAAAUACUGAAAUUCAUGUCCACAAGGAAAUAGGUUUUAAUAUUAGUAAUAAAAGAUAGCAUACACCUUGUGAAGGGUGAUAUGUGAAUUCUAAUGUAUAUUUAUUUUAAUCACUAGGUGAUUCUUCUCAGAUAUUAAAAACACUUAAAAAAAAAACCUCCUUUGUGUUGAAGCACAAAGAGGCAGAAAAACCAAGAGUUCUAAGUUUCUGAUGGAAAACAUUAAGAUGAGCCAAAAGGACCUGUAUAUUGUUCUGUUGAAUGAAGAUGUCACUUUCACAGUACCCACCACCGCUCUCAUACCAUUGUGUGUCCCUUAAAGAAAAGGUUGCUGAUGAAGAAGGCAAAUGGAAAAACAAAAACAAAAACAAAAAAAACCCCUAUACAGAUAUUUUACAAACAUUUUAACAAAACAGAGUUUAACUUGUUACUUUUAGGAUUUAGAGAACUAAUUUGUAUAGAAAUGUUCUAUCUUUAGGAAAAUCAAUAACGCUCAGAGCUGGGUGGUUUGGAAACCUUUUGUCAAACCUUGCCUGCUUUGGUGGGGAACCCGGCAAAGUCUCUCUUUAGGUGUUAGGCUGAAACUAGCAGGCGCUGAAAACCUAAAGCGGAAAAUUUACAACUUGAUCAGCCCCAGCCACAAACCAAAAAACCUGCUACUGGUGCAAACAUAUGUUCCAGAUUAAGUUAGGCAAAUGGCUCUUGUUUUCUCAGGGUGGAAAGUUGAUCAUGAAAAUUCAAAUUUGAGUAAGCUGUGUUUCCGAUGGAUCACGGGAUCCUCAAACGCUUAUAAAUCCCUCCCAACCGUUUACUUGAGAGAUUUCAUAUAUUUUAUUACCUUCUUGAGAGCUGAGUUUACAACCUCCUGCAAAUUUAAUUCAAUCAGGUAUUAUUUUCUGGGAACAUACAUAGUUUUAAAAGUUUGGUAAGUUGAAAACUAGGUGAUUUCUGUAACGUCAAACUACUAGAUAGCUAAUGUGUAACUCAGUUGCUCUAAUGCCUUUUCUAUUUCUUCACAUACAGACUAACUUUACAAAGUAGAAAUUAAACUGUUGAAUUUAUUUUAAAGCUUCCUUAAAGUUUUAUUCACCAGAGGAGUAGGCGAUUUUUUUUUUCACAGCAUGAGACAAAAUAGAAAAGUGUUACCCAAGCCUUUUAAUUAUGUCAGAAAAGACUGAGAUCAUGGUGUUUCUUUUAACGGGGGUAGCUGUCUUUUUGCAACCUCCCUGGGGUCAUCCAUCCAUCUCCCAGCUCAGUUAUUUGAAAACCCGUCCAGCUAUGAAGGUGUCUUGUAAGCAAGUUUAGAAUUAAGUCCAGAUUCUCCGAGAUAGCUAUCUCUGCGGACAAGUUGUAGAGGAUGGAGCCUGGCAUCAGACAGCUUCGGCACCUUCCUAUGUAAUCUCGGGAGUCCGAAGUUGUUCCCUAUUACCUACGUUCAUUCGAAUGAUCAUCCUGCAGAUUUUAACCAAUACUGUCAUGUUGAAGUUUGGUAGUUAUUGUUUACAUUUCUCCCUUCCCCAAGGGGUCUUGGAAAGUGUUUAAGAGAUUAUUGAUUUCUAAGAAACCAAAUAAAGAAGGCUGUUCUUUUAUAACAUAGGAAAUACACACUUUUCUUUAAAUAGGCAGUGUAUAUUUGACAUUGACAAAUGUGCAAGAGACAGAAAACUUAUUUUAAAAGACUUUGAAGGAGGAAAAAAUGGAUAAGACAGAAGCAAUCCUCUAGAAGAGUGGAAUUGGAAUUAAAGGAAAAACUUGGAUAAGGGGAGAAAUGGUUAUCUAUACUGUAAAAUGGUUUAAAGUUUCAUUGAACACAUACAGGUGGUGAGCAAACAUCAUUGGAGAAGCUUCUUUCAGGGGACCUAAUCAGUAUCACUCAGAGUUUUGAUUGAUUUAUCUUUUAAAAAUUAGUUUUCUUAUACUCAUUUUUUCCCUGGCAAAGUGGUCCUGAAAUAGUCACUCAGGUCUGGAAGUUUCUGAUUAACUUAGAAUAAGUCAUUCUGAAACUAUGUCAAGAAUACACUUUUUUUUUUUUAAGUAAGAAAUUCCUGAAUAACUAAAUAGAGAUCUUAGCCACCCUGUCUCCAGGUCAUAAGGGAAAUCUCCAGUGAAGGACAGAGAUACCCCCAAACUCUGACUGAUGGAACAAGUACUAGGCACCCAGGAGUUCAGUAAAUGCUCUCUAUUCCACCCAAAUCUCCACAAAUCCCCUGCCCUAACAGAGGAAAGCCCCACAUCCUUCUCUGAGCACCUGAUUCCCUUUUCUUGCUCCCAAACCUCUGAAAGGUAAGAAAGAAAUAUACAUUUAUCCAAGAUGGAAAUUUGUUUCAUAGAAUAAGCUCCCCCUCCACCCUCCCCAGCAUACCAACCAAAGACAUUCAAACAUUAUGAAGAUAUUUCAGCUAUAGUUUCAAAAUUGGGAGGUGAAUCCCAGUUUAGAAUAUGUGAGUCUCCAAGUCACUAUUAUUCAACAGGUCCCCUUUGCUACCCUGUACACUUCAGCUGCCACACUGUAUCUCCCUAGUUUUCCUAGGAGGGUCCAGUCGCUGGUUAAAAUAGCUCCUGGCUGUUUCUAUUCUAGCACGGACUUGUCUUAGGAUUUGGAUAAAACAACUCUUGAGACCACAAGAUAUACAAAACUAUGAGAAAAAAAAAUCUUCGGGGAUAACUGAGCAGUGAUUUUGCAUAUUAAAAAAGGGAGCAAAGAUUUUAUGUAAGCAGCGCUGUAUGGGAAAACAGACUAAAUUAUUCACCUAUGAAAUAUUUAAUAAAAUAUUUGUGUGUUAAGGGAUACAAAAAUACAGUGUUUUGAAGCUAAAUUUCCACUAAACUGAGGAAUUCAUGGAAAGUUUUCAUUGUAAUACUAUGCCAAAUAGAGAGUCAUUUUAUCCUGAAAAGUACUGUAAUCUGUGUAACUUCAUGAAAGCAGUUUUGCAACCAGAUUGUUGCAGCUAUUUUACAGGAAAGAAACCCGAAGAUGGCAGAGUUCUCUCCCCUUUUCACUCUCCUGGCCCUUUCUGGUGAAGUUGGAUUAAGCUGAUUUUAAACAGUUUUUGAACAAUCGAUAUUUAAUAGAAAUUUGGUUUUGGCCCCCUCACCUGCUCUAGUAAUACUUUCGUCCUCAAAGUUGAAGAGAGUAGAUGAUUAGAAUAGGGUCCAGAGGGAGGGGAGAGAUUUUACUCAAAGUUCAACAAGUGAAGCAAGUUUCAGUAAAGCAAGGUGCAAUUUGAAAUCUUUAAAAACUAGUCCUAAGAGUGGUGACUUAAAUGUUGCUAGGGAGAUCAUGCAAUGAAAAAGACACCACACGAAAUUGAUCUUCUUUUAUUGUACUUUGCUUAAAAGGAAAAAGGAAAGCCAAACUGAGAGACGCGCCGAAAUUUGGAGCUUGGAGUUGAGAACUGAAACUAGGAAGAAAGGCGGUGGUUCAGUUUUGAGGAAUUUUCACCCCGAGGAAUCCAAGACCUUCAGUCCAAACAGCAAUUUCUGGGGAGGCAGAUUAUGGGGUGGUGCAGAAGGAGUGUAAUUGGGUGAAUAUUUCAGAAGGACAGUAACAAGGUGAUGUGGUGACUGUGGACAGUGUUCCUGAUAAGCAGACUAAGUUUUUGCACUAAAAGAGAGAGUCUUCCAUUUGUAAUUCAAUUUUAAUUAAGAACUUGGGAGAGGCUGGUUUCUUUUUCACUUGAAAUAAUAGAAUAUUUUAGGAAGUUUCUGAUGCCUGACCUAAAGACCUCUCAUCCUUUUCCAAGAUAGAGAAUAAAAUACUUCCAAACUAUGCAAUUCUUAAAGUUUUUUAGCUCAAUGUUUCUUUUUUUCUAAUGCUUUUCUUGAUAACAGUAAAUUACCUGAUUUGAAAAAACUGUUAUUACCCACAGAUCAUUCUAAAUAAAAUGCAUUGCUUUUAAUAUGCUUUUAAAUGAAAUACAUAAAUACAGUAGAGUUAAACCAUGCACCUAGUGUAUUCCUUAAAAACCUAGGUAAAAGCAAAUUUCCUAAGAUUUUUAAUAACUCCAUAACAGUUACUCUCUGCAUGUGUUUCUAUAUUCUACUGUAUUUCAAGUCUGGCACAUUGCCUAUCAACUCAAGACACCAAUAGUUUAAAUCAAUUUUUCUUUAAUGAAAUAAAGGCAACCUUAAAUACUGAUACACAUUACAUACAGAGAAUUUACAGAUGCAAAUGAACUUGAAGCACAUUCAAAAAUAUUUAUUUUGAUGCCUUGCAGAAUUUGAACACGAAAAAAUUAUUUAAAAGAAAAAAACAGUUUACAAACAUUCCUGGUGACCAACAUAUAUUGAGUACUUACUAUGUUCUGGCACUGAAAAGACAUACACAUACUGUAUAUGUUGGCUAUUCUGGUGGAAAGGGCAUAUGUACCCCCCCAUGAAUGGAUAUGUACAUAUCUAGAUGUGUGUGUACACAUCUAGACAUAUAUGUGUGUGAGUGUGUGUAUAUACACACAUAUUUUCAAUUAGGUCUUAAAAAAAAAAAAAACCCUGAGUACUUCAAAGAAGGAAAUGAACUUUAUAUUCAAUCAUAGUUAAUUCGGACUUCAUUUUUGGCUAAUCAUAAUUUGGCCAAUAAUUUUUUUUCCUGAUAGCAUGAUGGACAUUACUUAGAAUUUAAAGUUUAGUGUCCCCAAAAUGCUGCUCUUCUUAAGCCACUUUGAAGUAAUGCUAGUGAGUCUAAGAUCCAGAUCUACAUGUUAAUCUCCAGUUUUGCCUUCAAACAGAAUUCAGUUACAAAGAACUUGGAAAGAUUUUAAAUCUAUUCAGGAGAGGAAAACUCUUUAAUUUUCUGAGGAGUAAAAACUCCCCAAGAAACUUCAUAUAGCUUCUUAGAUUUUGCUUAGCAUACGUGAUAAAACAUUGAUUGUUGCAGUUUGGUGACCCAUGAAAUUUGGGGGUUAGUUUUCUCUUCAGACCAGAGCAUAUAAUUAUGCAAAUAAAGAGCUGUCACUGAUCUAGUGAAAUACUCACAAACACAUGCACUCUGAAAUUGGACAGAAAAGUGAAAAUGGUUGGUGAUGUGAUGGUGCCAUGGUUUGUUUUCCUGCCAAGUUUCUAUCCAAGUUCAUUAUUCAAAUUGUAAACUUUAAAAAGAGACAUAUCAUUCUUGGGGUGUUGGUUGUCUUUUUAUUUCAGAUUCUUUGUAUUGGUACUGCAGGCUGGCUACAAAGUACAGUUCAACAUUAUUUUACCUAUGACUGUCUCCCAUAUUACCCGUUGUAUUAGCCAAGGAAGAAAAAGUGGAAUGAUCUGGAAAAAAAGAUGCAGGGCUUCUCUAGAUGUUCUUCUAGAAACAUGUUUCAUGUCUGUUUCAAAGAGAACUCAACUCCAACAAUACAAAGAAUAUAGUGAAAGGUUUUUUCACAAAUCUCAAGGCAAAAGACUGGGAAAAGUUGCCUGGAAGGUCUUAUGGAUUAAGUCAAAUUUCCAUUUUCAAGCUUUUUUCCAUUCAAGGGGAAAACACUGGUCACUGCAUGAUAUCCACUUAAUGGUCAAACUUUCAGCAUGAUUUUCUCCUAUCUAGCAAUUAAAGCCCACUAUGUAAUAUUUGGUGACUUUAACCUUUGAGGUUCAUUUAAAAUUACCACUCCUUUUUGUGCUAAGAAUUAACACAGAGUUCUUCAGCCUAACCAUGCUCUUUGGCAUCAAGGUCUCCCAAUUCCAAAGUUGCCACUGCAUAGGCUGUUGCAUAAUUUCAGAUGUCAUGGAGAGUCUCACUGAUGAAAUCUGAGAAGGCUCAUGUCAGACCACAGACUGCUAAAGACACCACUACAUGAAAGAUCAGUGGUGUGAAACUUUAAAAACAUCGAUCCAAAUGAAUCAAUUAAAUCAACGUUCAUCUCUCCUAAGAGUGAGGUUUAAAACUAUCAUUGUUGCUUUUUUUUUUUUUUAACCCUACAUAGAUUUUGAGAUAAACGCUGGAAUGCUUUGAUGGCUACUUCUAUUCUCGAAUCUCCGUUAAUCGACUUUGUGCUAUUUUCCUCUUUUCAACAUCUUCCACUUGGUGUACAUUCUUUAGUUUAGUACAGUGCAUGACAGUUGCAAUGCUUUAAAUCUAAAACCGCCUAACAAAGCUGACGCUUUAGGUAGGAUAGCUUUAAGCUCUGUGAAGUGUUGAUUAAAAACCCUUUCCCAGACUCAAACUGAUCUUUUUGGAGAUUAAUAGAAUAUUAGAUAAAAGGAAGACGAACAAUUCAAGAGACUCCCACUCAGUCACACUAUACAAGGAAGGAAGGAAGGAAAGUAUUCAAUUUUUGAAAGGGAGUGCCUCCUGGAGUCUUUUAUUUUAUAUUAUUAUAGCUUCUAAUAAGUAAUCAUAAAGUAACCACCAUUAUCCCUUUUUUUUUCACCCAUACUUAAAAAAUGAGAAAAUCUCACAUUUAUUUAAAGACAUUUUUCUCUACAGAGACACAGGGAAAGUUUUUGAGAAAUUUUUAGACUUUCUGUAAUAGUAAUCUUUCUUAAAUGAACCAGGAUUACAGACACCAAAAGGAACCUGUCAGUUUACAGACUAUGAUUACAAGAGGAGACACACAUGUGCCUGGACUGGAAUUCGAGAUAAUCCAGAGAAAAAUGAAUAAAAAAUCUUACUUAUUAGCAUUGAUAAUAUAGUUAACAUUUUGUCACUCAUACUCUCUCAAAGGAGUUACAGGUUUUAAAGAAGGAAAAGCUGUAAGAUAAAUGUAAACAAGAUAUUUUCAGAUUAGAUAUAAUACAUCAAGGACCUACAAGGGGAUUUGGGAGCAAUUUAAUCUCACUAGACUCCUUUUGGAAAACACAUUUGUUUGCCAUAUAAAGUCUAUUUUAUAAAAUUAUAGUUUAACAAUGGGUUCAAAUUUCUUUGUAGUUAAAGACUUUUGCUUUAAAAACAAAUGUCUUAAAAAAUGUUAGCUUUGUGAAGGUUCCAAGCUAAGUAGUGACUCCACUGAAGUUAAAGAUACUAUCUUAGAGCAACAAUAAUAGUAACAAUAAGCAGCUAUAAGGUUUAAAAUGUUGAUAAAUGCCAUCCCAUCAUUCUUUUAAAGUUUCUGCUUUUAUUAACUUUUAUAUGUGAUUAAAUGAACUUCUGAGCAAGAAUAAUAACGCCGCUGCUUGUUGGGAAAGUUGUUUUUAUUUUAAAUAGUAAACAGAAAUAUAUAUUAUAUAGGAAACUCCUGCGCUUUACUUUUCUUUUUUUGGUAUAAACGAUAAUGUAUUCUAAGUUGAAGCAUAAGGCAGAAACUUGAGAAAAGAACAAUUAUUACAAGUAGAUUCUUCCCACCCCACCUCUUCAAAUAUCCAUGAAAACUUUUAACGGCUAUAUACUUAGGUACCUUUAGAAAGUGCCAAAGCCAAUAUGUUUGUGGCUUUUAAGUUUUAACGGGAUUAUUUUGAUUAGAUUUAGCAACAACUCCUUGCUUCCCAUUCCACUGCUCUAAGAACUCACUGUAUAAUUAAAGAAAAAAAAAAAAAUCCACUUCCUAACUUUAAACCUCUACUCUCUUGAAACUUUGUCUAAAGAAAUCCAAAUGAGAGAUCAGAACAGAAAUACUGUUAGCACUUGAGGCAUCCAAGCAGGCCGGGCUACUACCAACUGAUCAUUGUUAUUCCAGGAAAACUGAGAUGAAUAUAAUAAUAUUAUAUUGAUACCAACAAACCCAUAAUCUACAGGUUAAAAAAUUCCACAUUACAAGGAAUCUUAUCACUUAUCAGUUGGUGGUCUGGGAUGGUUUGCCUAAUUCUCUCUGGGUUGCAAUAGCUCAGAUCCACAAGUAGAAAUUACAUUUACACAACUUAAGUUUGCAAAUAGCUCUCUAUAGAUAGUUAAACAAAGCCCAACAACCCAGCAGUUUUAAAGUAUUAAAGGCAAUUAAACAGUGAUUUACUCUAGCUACAAGUAAUGGUUUUUUAGAAAGAGAGGUAAGGAAACUGCAGAGAAGGAAUAGGAUUUGGUUUAUAAGCUGAGUGUAUUUACUUUGCUCUAAUUCAGGUGCAGAAGCUUCACAAGUUGAGCAUUGUACAAAUGCUGAUUUAAAAAUGCAAUAAAAUUAGUUUCCAGUGAACACUUUCAUAUGCUGAAAACAACAUACAAUUUAUAACACUUUGAAAAAUAUGUUCAAUCCACAUCAAUUCUCAAAUCCUCUCAAUGGAAGGCACAUCAUUUUACACAGUUCACCAUUACUUCUAAAAUUUUAGAAAAGGUUGCAGACUAACAUGCUUGAUGUUGCCAGGGUUAUACAGUUUAAGCCAUUCAAGGAGUUGGCUGAAAUGACAUUUUGAUUUUUCCUCUUAUGUUGUUUCUACUAAAAUAACAUCAAAAGAUAUGCAUAUUAGACUACUGAAAAAAGAUCACUUUAAUUUACCAUCAUUAAGUUAAGAGAACUACUUAAUGCACUUGUGGACCAAACACAGAUAUUGUUAGUUUUAAAACUUGCUGCGACAGGUUCAUAGUAUAAAAACAUUUUAUCCAUAAGGUAGAUAUUUUAAGUUAUUUUUCUGAGGAGUCAGACAGUUAUAAAGUCAUUUUGGGUACAUUUUAUUAUGUCCUCAAAUAAGGCAGGCAUCUUGUUGCAUACACUUUAAAAAAGGAUGAAAAAAUAUUAAAUUCAAAUCCCCAUCUAUUAGAAACAGAAUCUUCACUAGGUAAUUAAAUCCUGCAACUAAUUAAAAUAUUGAUAAAAUUAAAAUUUAAUAUUUGAAUUUAAAAGUCAGUAAAAUCUUAACUUAUUUUACUUCAUAUCUCACAGUGUUGGCCAGAUCUUAGUGGAUUAAAAUACUUAACUGCUGAAACUGUAGGACAAUACCUUACAGAGAAAGUGGACUACUAUAAAUUAUACCAUUAGACUGAGAGGAGCAAGUCUUUCAUACCAGGUCUUUGCCUUUCUGUUGGAGCAGAAAACAAAAAUAAUCAUUUUAGCCCCACUUGGCCUUUCAGAAGGAAAGGACUCGAGAGCAUAUAGGUUCAUUUUCCUGAUGGCAAUAAAAAAUUCUAUCCCUAAAAAGGUCUAACUUCAUGAAGGCUCAGAAUAGACCACUCAAGUUAGAAUUAACAACAACAAAAAGACAACAAACUUCUUCCACAUUAAGAUUUAAAAAGCAAAAGUUAAGUAUGCUAUCUAAAUGACUACACCACCCAAAGCACAUUAUAUAUUUAAAAAGUCAACUUAAUGAUAAAGUUGGAAAUUCCAUUGAAAGUGAAACAUUUCACAUAUAUACUUGAAAAAUUUGCUCAUCAUUCCGUUUUAGUUUAAACAACCUCUUCUGAAAUUAGAGACUUGUGUAAAAUCUCAUAUUCAAUUGGCAAGGAUUUUCAGCCAUAACGUGGUACUUUAUAAACUUUCAUGCAUUUUUUCUUCUGGUCUCGAAAUGAAAAUAGAUCGUGAGGGAGAGAACAACUUGCCCUCCCCAAACUACCCAGUACAUUAUGGAGUUCAUGUUCAGAAUUUAAAUUUGACUUUGGGGGGAGGGCACGGAAAUUCCUUAAAAAAAAAAA